CAGCAGCCGCGGUAAUACGAAGGGUGCAAGCGUUAAUCGGAAUUACUGGGCGUAAAGCGUGCGUAGGCGGUGAGUUAAGUCUGCUGUGAAAUCCCCGGGCUCAACCUGGGAAUGGCAGUGGAUACUGGCUCGCUAGAGUGUGUCAGAGGAUGGUGGAAUUCCCGGUGUGGCGGUGAAAUGCGUAGAGAUCGGGAGGAACAUCAGUGGCGAAGGCGGCCAUCUGGGACAACACUGACGCUGAGGCACGAAAGCGUGGGGAGCAAACAGGAUUAGAUACCCCGGUAGUCCCUGUCUCUUAUAA
Molecule: ribosomal RNA, 301 nt
Filed under: uncultured bacterium
Lineage: Bacteria
Description: partial 16S ribosomal RNA
Rfam family: Bacterial small subunit ribosomal RNA
Source: RNAcentral